AAUAGAUACCCGGGUAGUCCACGCCGUAAACGAUGAGUGCUAAGUGUUAGAGGGUUUCCGCCCUUUAGUGCUGAAGUUAACGCAUUAAGCACUCCGCCUGGGGAGUACGGCCGCAAGGCUGAAACUCAAAGGAAUUGAUGGGGGCCCGCACAAGCGGUGGAGCAUGUGGUUUAAUUCGAAGCAACGCGAAGAACCUUACCAGGUCUUGACAUCCUCUGACAACCCUAGAGAUAGGGCUUCUCCUUCGGGAGCAGAGUGACAGGUGGUGCAUGGUUGUCGUCAGCUCGUGUCGUGAGAUGUUGGGUUAAGUCCCGCAACGAGCGCAACCCUUGAUCUUAGUUGCCAUCAUUCAGUUGGGCACUCUAAGGUGACUGCCGGUGACAAACCGGAGGAAGGUGGGGAUGACGUCAAAUCAUCAUGCCCCUUAUGACCUGGGCUACACACGUGCUACAAUGGACGGUACAAAGAGCUGCAAGACCGCGAGGUGGAGCUAAUCUCAUAAAACCCGUUCUCAGUUCGGA
Molecule: ribosomal RNA, 521 nt
Filed under: uncultured bacterium
Lineage: Bacteria
Description: bacterial SSU rRNA
Rfam family: Bacterial small subunit ribosomal RNA
Source: RNAcentral